Molecule: ribosomal RNA, 305 nt
Filed under: uncultured bacterium
Lineage: Bacteria
Description: bacterial SSU rRNA
Rfam family: Bacterial small subunit ribosomal RNA
Source: RNAcentral
UUCCUACGGGGGGCAGCAGUGGGGGAUAUUGCACAAUGGGGGGAACCCUGAUGCAGCGACGCCGCGUGGGUGAAGAAGCGCCUCGGCGCGUAAAGCCCUGUCAGCAGGGAAGAAAAUGACGGUACCUGAAGAAGAAGCCCCGGCUAACUACGUGCCAGCAGCCGCGGUAAUACGUAGGUGGCAAGCGUUGUCCGGAUUUACUGGGUGUAAAGGGCGUGCAGCCGGGAGUGCAAGUCAGAUGUGAAAUCCCGCGGCUCAACCGCGGAACUGCAUUUGAAACUGUGCUUCUUGAGUGCUGGAGAGGG